AUUGAACGCUGGCGGCAUGCCUUACACAUGCAAGUCGAACGGCAGCACGGGGGCAACCCUGGUGGCGAGUGGCGAACGGGUGAGUAACAUAUCGGAACAUACCCUAGAGUGGGGGAUAACGUAGCGAAAGUUACGCUAAUACCGCAUACGAUCUAAGGAUGAAAGUGGGGGAUCUUCGGACCUCAUGCUCAUGGAGUGGCCGAUAUCUGAUUAGCUAGUUGGUGAGGUAAAGGCUCACCAAGGCGACGAUCAGUAGCUGGUUUGAGAGAACGACCAGCCACACUGGAACUGAGACACGGUCCAGACUCCUACGGGAGGCAGCAGUGGGGAAUUUUGGACAAUGGGGGCAACCCUGAUCCAGCAAUGCCGCGUGAGUGAAGAAGGCCUUCGG
This 391-nucleotide ribosomal RNA is filed under the name uncultured bacterium. RNAcentral describes it as "bacterial SSU rRNA". It matches the Rfam family "Bacterial small subunit ribosomal RNA", at positions 30 to 421 of the family's 1533-position model. The record is from RNAcentral.